Long non-coding RNA from Daphnia pulicaria, 833 nucleotides. RefSeq lists it as uncharacterized. The transcript is spliced from 4 exons. NCBI's taxonomy places the organism in Eukaryota, Metazoa, Arthropoda, Branchiopoda, Diplostraca, Daphniidae. The record is from RefSeq and is a predicted model, not a curated record.
CAACACAGUCGCACAUACAUGACAUUACACCUCGUAACUUUCAAAAGUUCCUUCAAUUAAAUCAAAAUAAAUUAAAAAAUUGAACAACGGAGAUCGGAUAAUGAGUUAACUGUUUUGAAUUUCAGGUGAAGUUUUCGUGUACCUGCCUACCUGGUCUUCUGAAGCUAAACAAUUUCUGUUGCAAGAUUUUGUAAAUCUUCAAGAUAUUGAUGCCUUCGCCAGAUCCAAUUCUUUGCUACAUACUGUGUGUCACAACAGCAAGAAAAUGCUGCCACUCAAGAUUUUGUGGUGAUCACCACUUAGUUCUAAUUUAGGAGGACAAUGUAAGAUUGAUAGAUUUGAGGUUAAUCCCUCUCCUCUGUUUUGGAAACCGACAAGAGAUUUCUGGAAUGGAAGACUGAUAAUUUGUGUAGACGUAGAUAAAUUACAAGUGCAUAUUUGGGCUCCCUUCUUUUCUGUGGCCCCGUUUCCCCUACUAACCAAUAACCAACUCCCGCCGGUGGUCACUCACUCGCUGUACUAAGGAGGACGAGGAGGGCGCAGGGCGCUGGUCGAGCGGGGACUACUUGGAAGGCUCAUAAUUUGAUGAAAAUGGAGGUUUAUGAGUAGAGUCUAAUCAGGAAUAUGACUAUGACUAAUUGCUCCCUAGCAAAACUGGGCACACUUUUCUUUGUCGGAGUUAAUCAAGAUAGUGUUUUCCCCCGUCAUUGAUUGACGGUACCUGCAAGUCGGCCAAACAGGGGCAUUUAUUUAUUCGGUUGGUGUUGAUUUGUUAGAAUGCCAACUGUCUAGUGUACGUAUGUAUUAACAGAGUUAAAUACGCGGUUUAUAUU